This 253-nucleotide ribosomal RNA is filed under the name uncultured bacterium. RNAcentral describes it as "partial 16S ribosomal RNA". It matches the Rfam family "Bacterial small subunit ribosomal RNA", at positions 524 to 776 of the family's 1533-position model. The record is from RNAcentral.
UCCGGCGGGGGCUAGCGUUGUUCGGAAUUACUGGGCGUAAAGCGCGCGUAGGCGGCUUUGUAAGUUAGAGGUGAAAGCCCGGAGCUCAACUCCGGAACUGCCUUUAAGACUGCAUCGCUAGAACGUCGGAGAGGUAAGUGGAAUUCCGAGUGUAGAGGUGAAAUUCGUAGAUAUUCGGAAGAACACCAGUGGCGAAGGCGACUUACUGGACGACUGUUGACGCUGAGGUGCGAAAGCGUGGGGAGCAAACAGG